GUGGGUGUAGCUCAGCUGGCAGAGCACUGGAUUGUGGUUCCAGGGGUCGUGGGUUCAAGCCCCAUCUCCCACCCCA
This 76-nucleotide transfer RNA is filed under the name Deltaproteobacteria bacterium. RNAcentral's name for it is "tRNA-His". It matches the Rfam family "tRNA". From Rfam's summary of the family: Transfer RNA (tRNA) molecules are approximately 80 nucleotides in length. Lineage: Bacteria; Pseudomonadati; Myxococcota; Myxococcia. The record is from RNAcentral.